UACGUAGGGAGCGAGCGUUAUCCGGAUUUAUUGGGCGUAAAGCGUGCGUAGGUGGUUUAUUAAGUAUAAGAUUAAAACCUGAGGCUCAACCUCAGUUCGUCUUAUAAACUGGUAGACUUGAGUAUAGUAGAGGUAAGUGGAAUUUCUAGUGUAGCGGUAAAAUGUGUAGAUAUUAGAAGGAACACCAGUGGCGAAGGCGACUUACUGGGCUAUUACUGACACUGAGGCACGAAAGCGUGGGGAGCAAAUAGG
This 252-nucleotide ribosomal RNA is filed under the name uncultured bacterium. RNAcentral's name for it is "partial 16S ribosomal RNA". It matches the Rfam family "Bacterial small subunit ribosomal RNA", at positions 524 to 776 of the family's 1533-position model. The record is from RNAcentral.